GACGAACGCUGGCGGCGUGCUUAACACAUGCAAGUCGAACGGAAAGGCCCUGCUUUUGUGGGGUGCUCGAGUGGCGAACGGGUGAGUAACACGUGAGUAACCUGCCCUUGACUUUGGGAUAACUUCAGGAAACUGGGGCUAAUACCGGAUAGGAGCUCCUGCUGCAUGGUGGGGGUUGGAAAGUUUCGGCGGUUGGGGCUGGACUCGCGGCUUAUCAGCUUGUUGGUGGGGUAGUGGCUUACCAAGGCUUUGGCGGGUAGCCGGCCUGAGAGGGUGACCGGCCACAUUGGGACUGAGAUGCGGACCAGACUCCUACGGGAGGCAGCAGUGGGGAAUAUUGCACAAUGAGCGGGAGCCUGAUGCAGCGACGCCGCGUGCGGGAUGACGGCCUUCGGGUUGUGAACCGCUUUCGCCUGUGACGAAGCGUGAGUGACGGUAAUGAGUAAAGAAGCACCGGCUAACUACGUG
This 468-nucleotide ribosomal RNA is filed under the name uncultured bacterium. RNAcentral's name for it is "partial 16S ribosomal RNA". It matches the Rfam family "Bacterial small subunit ribosomal RNA", at positions 28 to 507 of the family's 1533-position model. The record is from RNAcentral.